UGGCCACAUGAGGCAUCUAGCGUGUCAAGCAG
RNAcentral lists this non-coding RNA (32 nucleotides) under Mus musculus (house mouse). The record is from RNAcentral. Lineage: Eukaryota; Metazoa; Chordata; Mammalia; Rodentia; Muridae.